CAAGGCGACAUUUGCUUGCGCAUGUGGAUGCGCACGCGCAUGCCCCCUCCCAAAGGCCUGGUCCCUAGGGAAAGACGCGCGAGGGCCGCGUGAGCACGCCGAGGCCCACCAGGAAGAUGACCGAGGCGACGGCCGCAGCUGCGCCCCAUUGGAGGGCGCUCGGGGUCUCGGUACGGAACACGUACUGGCGCAAGCCCUCUUGCGCUGCCUCGCUCCACAGGGCGCCCACGGUGACCAGCAUGAUAAGCACGAUCAGUUCCACAGUGCGAUGCUCAAACAGGUAGGCGCGCACGGCGCGCGAUUCGACGUUGGCCUCGCGCGCGACCACGUCGAUCUGUCCGGCACCGAUGACCGCGUUCCCCUGGUCCUGCGCACCGGAGGAGGACAUUGGCACCCCGUCGUAGUGUUUCCCUUUUUUUGACUGCUCUCUUUUUUUUGACUCUUUUCUGGCACGCCGAUGGCGAACAAAAAACACGCAGCGCGAAAAGGGCGCGCGACAGUCUUUU
Molecule: long non-coding RNA, 506 nt
Filed under: Pandoravirus neocaledonia
Description: hypothetical ncRNA
Source: RNAcentral